Molecule: transfer RNA, 74 nt
Filed under: Phycisphaerales bacterium
Lineage: Bacteria; Pseudomonadati; Planctomycetota; Phycisphaerae; Phycisphaerales
Description: tRNA-His
Rfam family: tRNA
About the family: Transfer RNA (tRNA) molecules are approximately 80 nucleotides in length. Their secondary structure includes four short double-helical elements and three loops (D, anti-codon, and T loops).
Source: RNAcentral
GUGGCUAUAGCUCAGUUGGCUAGAGCGCGAGGUUGUGAUCCUUGAGGUCGCGGGUUCGAGUCCCGUUAGCCACC